Molecule: ribosomal RNA, 253 nt
Filed under: uncultured bacterium
Lineage: Bacteria
Description: partial 16S ribosomal RNA
Rfam family: Bacterial small subunit ribosomal RNA
Source: RNAcentral
UACGUAGGUGGCACGCGUUGUCCGGAUUUACUGGGCGUAAAGAGCGCGCAGGCGGUCGUGCAAGUCGCGUGUGAAAGCCCCCGGCUCAACUGUGGAGGGUCACGCGAUACUGCUCGACUCGAAGGCAGGAGAGGGAAGUGGAAUUCCCGGUGUAGUGGUGAAAUGCGUAGAUAUCGGGAGGAACACCAGUGGCGAAGGCGACUUCCUGGCCUGUUCUUGACGCUGAGGCGCGAAAGCUAGGGUAGCAAACGGG